This 30-nucleotide non-coding RNA is filed under the name Cricetulus griseus (Chinese hamster). Lineage: Eukaryota; Metazoa; Chordata; Mammalia; Rodentia; Cricetidae. The record is from RNAcentral.
GACGAGGAAACUGAGGCUCAAAGAUUUGGA